UACCCCUAGCAAAUCUCAAAAAACCGAUCGUAGUCCAGAUUGGAGUCUGCAACUCAACUCCAUGAAGUCGGAAUCGCUAGUAAUCGCGGAUCAGAAUGCCGCGGUGAAUACGUUCCCGGGCCUUGUACACACCGCCCGUCACACCCUGAAAGUUGACUGCGCCAGAAGUUACUGGACCAACCUUUAUAUUCGUAUAGAGGGGGUAGGUACCUACGGUGUGGUCAGCGACUGGGGUGAAG
This 239-nucleotide ribosomal RNA is filed under the name uncultured Nitrobacter sp. RNAcentral's name for it is "partial 16S ribosomal RNA". It matches the Rfam family "Bacterial small subunit ribosomal RNA", at positions 1259 to 1485 of the family's 1533-position model. Lineage: Bacteria; Pseudomonadati; Pseudomonadota; Alphaproteobacteria; Hyphomicrobiales; Nitrobacteraceae. The record is from RNAcentral.